UUAUGUGGUUUAAUUCGAAGCAACGCGAAGAACCUUACCAGGUCUUGACAUCGUGCGCAUAACCCAGAGAUGGGUGAAGCCCUUCGGGGCGCAUAGACAGGUGGUGCAUGGUUGUCGUCAGCUCGUGUCGUGAGAUGUUGGGUUAAGUCCCGCAACGAGCGCAACCCUUACGAGUAGUUGCUACGCAAGAGCACUCUACUAGGACUGCCGUUGACAAAAACGGAGGAAGGUGGGAUGACGUCAAAUCAUCAUGCCCCUUAUGACCUGGGCUACACACGUAAUACAAUGGCGGUCAACAGAGGGAAGCGACGCCGCGAGGCCGAGCGAAUCCUCAAAAGCCGUCUCAGUUCGGAUUGCAGGCUGCAACUCGCCUGCAUGAAGUCGGAAUUGCUAGUAAUCGCGGAUCAGCACGCCGCGGUGAAUACGUUCCCGGGCCUU
RNAcentral lists this ribosomal RNA (438 nucleotides) under uncultured Hydrogenoanaerobacterium sp. RNAcentral's name for it is "bacterial SSU rRNA". It matches the Rfam family "Bacterial small subunit ribosomal RNA", at positions 937 to 1382 of the family's 1533-position model. Lineage: Bacteria; Bacillati; Bacillota; Clostridia; Eubacteriales; Oscillospiraceae. The record is from RNAcentral.